CGAGUAGAGUCGGGGACUCUGGAUGGACUGCCAGCGACAAGCUGGAGGAAGGUGGGGACGACGUCAAGUCAUCAUGGCCCUUAUGCCUAGGGCGACACACGUGCUACAAUGGCCGAUACAGCGGGAAGCAAGCCUGCGAAGGCAAGCAGAUCCCACAAAGUCGGUCUCAGUUCGGAUUGUAGUCUGCAACUCGACUACAUGAAGGAGGAAUCGCUAGUAAUCGCGGAUCAGCCAAGCCGCGGUGAAUCCGUUCCCGGGCCUUGUACACACCGCCCGUGGGGCGGG
This 285-nucleotide ribosomal RNA is filed under the name uncultured bacterium. RNAcentral describes it as "partial 16S ribosomal RNA". It matches the Rfam family "Bacterial small subunit ribosomal RNA", at positions 1122 to 1405 of the family's 1533-position model. The record is from RNAcentral.